ACUUCAGUGGCCUAGUGGUUAGAGCAUCUGCCUCAGAUACUGGAGGUCGUGGGUUCAAUCCCUGGUCAAGUC
Non-coding RNA from Potamilus streckersoni, 72 nucleotides. The record is from the annotation of a GenBank genome assembly. Lineage: Eukaryota; Metazoa; Mollusca; Bivalvia; Unionida; Unionidae.